UACGUAGGGUGCGAGCGUUAAUCGGAAUUACUGGGCGUAAAGCGUGCGCAGGCGGUUUUGUAAGUCUGUCGUGAAAUCCCCGGGCUUAACCUGGGAAUUGCGAUGGAGACUGCAAGGCUAGAAUCUGGCAGAGGGGGGUAGAAUUCCACGUGUGAGCAGUGAAAUGCGUAGAGAUGUGGAGGAACACCGAUGGCGAAGGCAGCCCCCUGGGUCAAGAUUGACGCUCAUGCACGAAAGCGUGGGGAGCAAACGAGGAUUACGAAACCCGG
This 269-nucleotide ribosomal RNA is filed under the name uncultured bacterium. RNAcentral's name for it is "partial 16S ribosomal RNA". It matches the Rfam family "Bacterial small subunit ribosomal RNA", at positions 524 to 790 of the family's 1533-position model. The record is from RNAcentral.